UUGUUGACGGCUUUACAAUCAACACACAUACGCCAACUACCAUCUUUUUUGGGUACUAAUAAGACGGGCACUACGCAUGGACUUAAACUUUCUCGAAUGUGCCCCUUUUGUAAGAGCUCCUCCACUUGCCUUUGAAGCUCUUUGGUCUCCUCGGGAUUGUUCCUAUAGGCUGGUCUAUUUGGUAUGGCAGCCCCGGGAAUAAAGUCAAUUUGAUGCUCAAUCCCUCUCAAAGGUGGUAAACCUUGAGGUAGAUCAUCGGAAAAAGCAUUGCUAAAUUCCUGCAAAACUUUAACUACAACACUUGGCAAAGAAGAGUCAAGUUCGUUAGUUGAGAAACGAACUUCCUUGUACAUGAGUACAAUAAUUGGCUUGUUAGAAAAUAAAGCUUUCUUCACAUCUCUCAUUUUAGCAUAAAAACUCAUUUUCUUUCCCUCAUUCUUUUUUAUGGUCGAAUGCAUCUCUUUUUCUUUUUCCUUUUGAUCUUCAUUUUUCCACUCUAAUUUUCUCUCACUCUCUUUUCUUUUCUCUUUUUCUUUUUCUUUUCUUUUUCUCUUGGUCUCUCUUUGUGCGAAUUCAUCAUGGGACUUUUCAAGUUGCAUUUGGUCUUCAAAAACUCAUUUAGGGGUUAAAGGAAGAAAAGUAUACUUUUUGCCCUCUUUUCCUACCAUGUACCUAUUGAGAUACCCAUCAUGCAUCACUCUCAUAUCCCAUUGCCAUGGUCUACCCAGCAAAAUAUGACUAGCUUGCAUAGGAACUACAUCACAUAUCACCUCAUCACUAUACUUCCCAAUAGUAAAAGGCACCCUCACUUGCUUAUUAACUCUCAUCUCCCCACUAUUGUUAAGCCAUUGCAACUUAUAAGGUUUAAGAUGUUUGGUAGUUUUCAAACCCAGUUUAUCAACAAAUAAGGUACUAGCUACAUUUACACAACUACCCCCAUCAAUAAUCAUGCUACACAAUUUUCCAUUCACUAGACAUCUAGAAUGAAAAAUUUUCUCUCUUUACAACUUAACCCCCUCAUCAUCAUUCCUUACUUGCAUAUUCAAAGCACGUCUAGAAACCAACAAUCUACCUUCCAUAGGCGUUUCCCCAUCACUACAAUCCUCCAAAGGAGGCAUUUCAUCCUCCACAUCAUUCUUAUCAUCCGUUUCAACAUCAUCACCACACAUCACCAUUACCCUUUUAUUUGGGCAUUGAGAUAUGACCAAAACUCAAGCAUCUAAAACACUUGAUAUCUCUAUUCCUAGGAGUUUGGGAGUCAGAAAUACCUUUGUUUUAUUAUCAUUAGCAUCCUUUGACUUAGUUUUGUCAUCUCUUUUGAAUUGGACAGCCUUGUUAUCUCCCCUCCAAUUCGAUCUCCAAUUGGAAUUUUGGGCCGAGUAAGUGUUGGCUUGCCUUGUGUUCCCCUUUUUCUUUAAUUGUCUUUCAAUCUUUAUAGCCAUGUGCACCAUAUCAUCAAUCUCCACAUAAUGUUGAAGCUCUACAAUGUUGGCUAUGUCUUUGUUAAAGCCAUUUAAGAACCUUGCCAUAGUAGCUUCCCUAUCCUCUUCAAUAUUAGCCCUUAUCAUGGCUAUCUCCAUCUCUUUGUAGUUGCAAACUUUUCCCUAGGCUUGCUCAUCAACUUGCAGUGCGCUUAAAGAAAAUGCAGGCUUUUUAAAAUAUGAGAAGAUAUCCUUCCUGCCAUAAUCCAAGGUUCGAAAAUAUGAGAAAAUCAUUUUGGAAAGAUAAGGAUGAGCCAAAAUUAAAGGACAUGGAUUGGAAAUAAAGGAAAGAAAAAAAAAACCCUAGACUCCAAUCGACUAUAAAGAAGGCGGCUGUCAAAGCUGAAUCAUCUUCCCUUGGGCCUGAGGCCAUGCAAAGUAGAUUUCCCUACUGCUGUAAUUUUUCUUCUUCAUAUUUCUUCUCUCCUUUAAUCACUAAAAACUCUUUUGUAUUGAAACCCACCAUGAGUGGCUAGUUUAUUUCUUUUUCUAGUUGAGGUUUAGUGAACUCUAGUGAUGUAUUUGUCAUAUCGAAUUUAUUUAAUUCAUAUUUUAUUUAAACCUUAGUAUUUAUUUAUUUCAUGCUCCUACAUAUACUUGUUAUGUUUUGAAUCUGUUUGAACAAGUCAAGUCAAAUGCAUGUAGAAGCCGCAAACUGCCGGCUAAACCACUCAAAUUCGUAUUUGUUUGAGCGGUUUCAGCACUUAACAGCGAUCAGUGUGGUACUGAGGAGGUAAGUAACCAGGUUGACUAGUUCAUGCGGAUGAAUCUGACAACUUGAAUCAGGUUCUUCUAGUUUUUAAGGUCGUUGGCACAUAAAAUUCUAUGGGCAUUCCUAAGACUGUUUGGUAGGGAAAAACCAAUCAAUGAAUAUUUCUUGAUUGGUUUAAAAAUAAAGAAUGAUUGGUUGUUGGAACAUUUAUGAUAAUUAUAAUUGGUUGACUAGUUCAUGCAGAUGAAUCUGACAACUUGAAUCAGGUUCUUCUAGUUUUCAAGGUCGUUGGCACAUAAAAUUCUAUGGGCAUUCCUAGGACUGUUUGGUAGGAAAAAACCAAUCAAUGAAUAUUUCUUGAUUGGUUUAAAAAUAAAGAAGGAUUGGUUGUUGGAACAUUUAUGAUAAUUAUAAUUGGUUUGCUAUAGUUUAAAUGAGGUUGAUCCUUGCAUCCAUGAUCAAUUACGUUACUUGAGUUGGCUAUCUCAUCAAUUAGGAAUCCUCUUUAUUAUUACUUUAGAUUUUAACUUACAGCCAUGAUUUUAUUCAACAUCAUUCUGCUUAUUGCUCAUUUUAUGUUUAACGUAACCAAUCCUAUAAAACCCCCUAUUGUUUACUUUUCAUUUGUUAAUCAAGGAAGAAAAUUGAUUUUUGACUCCUUGUGGAUUCGACCAUUCUUACCACUACUACAAUAUUGUUUUACUGGUUAAUUAGGAAUUUAUUUUUGGUGGAUUUGAUAUCGAUCACCUCUCCACGUCCAUGUCUUCCAGGAUGUUGGAAGUAAGCGGCAACCACACCAACAAUCCCUUUACCAAACAAUUGCUACCAGAAUUGAUGGUCUCCCCUAACAACAUAUCCCAUUUCUCCCUACAAUAAGGCAUAAUAAGAUACAAAGGGAGAUUAGUCCUAAGAGGUAAAUAGGAACUUCGCAAUCAACUGCUUUACUAGUGCUAUAAUUCAACACUAGGGGAGUCACUCUAGAGCUAGAGUCACUUAUGAGAGGGCUAACCAACACUUCUAUUGGCCCAAUAUGAAGAAAGGAAUUUUAUAAGAGGUCUAAUAAUGCAACAUCUACCAACGCUGUAAACAGAGCGAGUUCCCACACCAGGGCUACUUCGACCAUUGCUCGUUCUACCAUAUGCUUGGACACACAUAUCCAUGAACUUCAUUGAACAGUUGCCCAAAUAAGAAGGGAAGGACAUUAUAUUAGUGGUAGCAGACCGCUUCACAAGUAUGAACAUUUCAUUCCCCUGUAGCACCCCUUAUUGCAGUCGGAGUAGCCCGAAGUUACAUGGAGACAGUAUAAAAGAUGUGUAAAAUUCCACAGGUAAUUAUGACUGAUCGAGAUAAAGUAUUUACAAGUUUAUUCUGAAAGGAGCUAAUGAAGGCAGUGGGGACAAAUUUACUCUUCAGUACUACAUACCACCCUCAGACAGAUGGACAAAUAGAAAAACUCAAUCACUGUCUAAAAAUGUACCUACAAUGCAUGGCUAACCCACAACUAAAGACUUGGGCCAAAUGGUUAGUCGUAGCUGAAUGGUGGUAUAGCACUUCGUACCAUACAAGUUUGAAGAUAACACAUUUUCAAGCACUCUACGGGUACCCACCUCCACAUUUCUUUGAUUCCCUAGGAUUCUACUCUGCAUUACCCUCAGUACAGAUGGUCCUAGCAAAAAGAGAAGAGGCCAACAAGACCAUAUGUCAGCAGCUACUACAGGCACAAUCUAGAACCAAGCAAUAGAGAGAUAAUCAUCAAAGUGAGAAGUUUUGAGGUCAAUGAUUGGGUAUUGCUCAAACUACAUCCUUUCAAAUAAGGGACAUUUAAGAAGGGACGAGACUCCAAAUUAUCACUUGAUACUACAGACCAUUCCAAGUCUCUUAAAAAAUUGGGAAGGUAGCAUAAAAACUCCAGUUACCUAAAGAAUCAAAGAUUCACCCAGUUUUUCAUGUGUCCCAACUCAAGAAAUACAUCCUGGCCACAUAGGAAAUCCAACAAGACUUGCCCUCGCGAAUCAUGAAAGACUUCAUUAGUGUACAACCAUAACAAAUCUUAAAACAAAGAACCAUAUUACGAGGUAAUUAACCAGUGGAUCAAGUUCUUAUCCAUUGGGAAGGAGAUCAAACCAAAAAAGAAUUGUUGGGAAGGAGAUUAAACAAAAAAAUGCAUAUGGGAAGAUUACAAGUAUUUAUAACACUAGUUCGUACACCUCAACCUUGAGGACAAGGUUACUGUUCAAAGGGAGGGUAUUGUUAGGAAACCCCUCAAGGCUUGUCACAGGAAAAAGCACAAGAAGGGAAAUAUGCACAUUAAAGGUGAAAAAUGGGGAAAACCUAUAACGAAUUGGGAUUAUGGUUGACCAACCCUAAUGGGAUUCAUCUCAUCUCAUAGUCGACGCCUCUCCCAUAUGCAAUUCAUCCCACAGUCGACAUCGUGCUCAUCAUCAUCAUGCAACUCUGGCCGCUCAAUUUCAGUGAGUAUGAUUUUGCCAUAGAGGUCAUUUUUAUUUAUUGUACUUAUGCCUAUAAAAGGCUCUCUUCCAUAAGUUGUAAUCAUAAAAAAUAAAGAAUCAAUAAAAUACCUAUAUUUUCCUCUCCUAAACCUUCUUUGUCUUCACAUAUUAUAGCCAUGUUGAAGGCUUUUGACAACACCUUGAUUUCUAAAAUACAAAAAUGUUCCCCUUAUAUUGGGACAUUUCCUCAUGCAUCAUGAAAUGCAUUAUCAUUUCACAUUUUUUUAUUUGUGGCAUUUGGAUUGGAGGCAAAAAUCCAUAUUAAUGAUAGAAGUAGCAACAUUGUCUACCUAAAGUGUCCUUGUACUAUAUUCUAAAAUAAAGUUUUACCAAAUAAACUGUGUCAAAAUUUGUCACAUAGUAUUGCUUAAGACUAAAUAAUAAGUUCAAUCAUUUUUAAAAAAAAACUAAUAGUCAUUUUUUAAAAAACUAUGGCAGUAGUUGAAAUGUCUUUACAUAUUGAACUUCCUCUAGCAUGAUAGACUUGAAGUAGGUCACAAAUCCUACCAUUAAGCGUACACUGACCUAAUCGCGAGCCAGUUUUAAACCCCAACAAGGCACAUCAACCAGUAAGGUUUUGAAUUGAGAACAACCAACUAGAUAUGAGGAAUUGUCUCAAACAAUUGAACAGGAAAAUAAUCCAAACUUAAGCAUAACCAAAACUUUAACUUUGGACAUAGUCCGAAGCUAAAACACAACCAAAAUAACCUGGCUUAGUGCACAUAGUCUUAAGCUCAGUCUUUAAGCAGGAGUCAACAGAGUUCAUCUUGCUCCAAGACCCAGUUUCAUGCACACAAACUCAGUUCGUCCCAGGACUUGGAUGUCGCCUUGAAGGUAAUGUUCAGCCCAACCGAGGAAAAAAUUAAAAUAGUUGCUACUUUUGUUCGAAUAUUUUAUUGCUCCUCCCAAUACCUAUACUGGAUGCUACUGAAAAAAUCUUGACCAAUUUCACAUUUUGUACUAUCUAAUGUUGUCGUAUACUAUUUUGUCUAGCCACCAGCAAAAACUACCUUAAUAAUUUGAUGAGGAAAUGAUUUGGUAAAACCAAAUUUGAACCAUUCCUAAUGAACAAAGGCUUGACUGAUCAUUGCAUCCGAGCACUAUAUACCAAAUAUCAACUACAAGUUCAUAGAUCCAUAUGUAAAUGGUGAGUUUUAAUUAGUAAUAAUUUAUAAGAAAAAUUAAAAAAAUUAAGCUCAUAACCAGGCCUAGCAUGUUUAAAUAGCUUAUCAUAAAUAACUCUUCCUGUAUAAAACACACACAAAUCAUUAUGUCAAGUAAGCCUAGAUUGGAAAGUAAAGAACUUGAAAUUAAAGGGAUUAUACCUUUGCUUUAACUAGGGAUCUCUAGAAUCAAGGGCAAAUUCUUCUAUUUGAAGCCCCUCGGAAAGAUGAAAAUCAUAAUGUUCUUGCCUUUCCUCAAAAAAAUAAGGAGGAAACUUUAUCUCGCAUAGAGAACACUUGUAGCCAUUGCUCCAUAAUAAUAAUGGCUCACUCUGAUUGGAUGUAGAAGUAGCUUCACUCACUAUAUCAUCAGCAUUCUCCACCACCACAUCAUGGUUGCUAUACUCAAUUUUUUUUAUAUUCAAAUAAAUCUUUUUUCAACACUUCUAAUUUUCUAAUAGACUUUGGGGUAUGAAGUGUAUCAUCUGUAAUCCUCACCUAUUACAGAAAAUAUACAACAAAGCUGGAUGAGAAAUGGAUGUCAAAAAUAGGUCAACAAAAAUAAAUUAUCAACAUAUUCAUGUCCUAGGCAGAAUGAUGAAAUUACUUUAGGCUUAUCAGAUACCCUAUCCAGAUUUUCAAUUACUAAAGGUUCAUGAGAUUCCUUCUACUCCAGCAACAUUGCUUCUAAAAGUUAAACCUUCAACUGGUUUCCCAAAUUCAUGAUGAUGUGUCUCAUGUUUUUCAGCAGAAAAGCUGGUUCCCUUUUCAUUCAUCAAGUGGCGUUCACUAACAUCUGAGCUCAUGGAAAUUUAUUCAUUAAGAGCUCUCCUAAAAGAAUGUCCUGAUAUGAUGAAGUUGGCAAGAGUCUUUUGUGUAAGAUCGGGAGUGUAGAACUUCUCUUCAUCAAACUAAGACAUUCGCAGGCCUGGCAGUAAACAAAGAUAAAUAUGUUAUUAUAUUCAAUACUAAUAUUCUAAAUAAAACAAGUGUAAGAUUAAUUUUACUAAAUAAAAAUACAAGCACAAUUUAAAACAUGAACCGCAUUGUAAUGACAUAAUAGUUCCAUAAUGAAAUAAAAAUCACAACCUACAAGCCUUAAUGGAAUAGGAGGAGGAGGAUAUUGUGGACUAAAACUCGUAUUUAUUUUAACUUUCAUUUGCCCAAAAAACCUGUUUUAAAUUAAAUCACCCAACGACAUCGUUUAAUUAAAAGUAUGUAAAAAGAUAAGGACAACCCUUUAAGUGUCACUAGACACAGAGAGAACAGGCUUGUUAUUAACGGAGGUGAAGGUGAUUUACUUCAAGCCUCAAACAAAUUCCUUUACUCUAAAAGAGGCGACCCCAAGUCUGCAUUCAAGACCAACAUCUCUGAUUCUCCUCUUAAAAACUUUCUGGAAAUUUUAUUUCAAAACAUGACACAGAAGGAGAAGGAUACAAUGGGAUAAAUAUUAUAUUUAUUAUUAAAUUUUAAUUACCCAACAACAUUGUUUUAAAUUAAAUUGCCCCAAUAACAUUGUUUAACAAAAAUGUGUAAAAAAAAUGAGGACGACCCUUUAAGCAUCACUGGACAUGGAGAGAACUGGCUCGUUAUUAGUGGAGGUGAAGGUGCUCAGCUUCCAACCUCACCUAAACUCCACCACUUUAAAAGAGGUGACCCCAAGUCUAGUUGAAAACGAACAUCUCCAACUCUCCUCUUAGAAAUUUUUUUAAAAUUUUCUUUCUGAACAAAACAUAAGAGGAGGAUAUAGUGCACUAAAUCUCAAAUUUAUUUUUAACUUCAAAUUUCCCAACGACACCAUUUAAAAUUAAAUCGUCCACUGACACCAUUUAAUUGAAAUGUAAAAAAAAAUGAGGACGACCCAUCAAGCGUCACUAGAUACAGAGAGAACCAGCCUGUUAACAGUGGAGGUGAAGGUGCUCUGCUUUCACCCUCAGGCAAACUCUUUCGCUCUAAGAGACACGACCCCGAAUCUGUGCAGGACCAACAUCUCCAACUCUCCUCUUAGAGAACAAGACACAAGAGGAGGAGGAUAUAGUGGACUAAAGUUCGUAUUUAUUAUUAACUUUCAACUGCCCAAUGGCACCAUUUUAAAUUAAAUCAUCCAAUAAAACCAUUUAAUUGAAAUGUAUAUAAAAAUGAGGACGACCUUUCAAUCGUCACUGGACACAGAGAGAACCUACCCAUUAUCAGCGGAGGUGAAGUUGAUAUGCUUCCAGCCUUAGGCAAACUCCUCCUCUCUAAGAGAGGAGACCCCAAGUCUACGUUCAAGACCAACAUCUCCAACUUUCGUCUUAGAAUAUUUCUAGAAAUUUUCUUUUAGAAUAAGGCAUAGGAGGAAGAGGAGGAUAUAUUGGACUAAAGCACGUAUUUAUUAUUAACUUUUAAUUGUGCAAUAAGAUUAUUUUAAAUUAAAUCGCCUAACGAGACCUUUAAUUGAAACGUGUAAAAAAAAUCAGGACAACCCUUCAAGCAUCACUAGACAUGGAGAGAACUGGCUCGUUAUUAGUCGAGGUGAAGGUACUCUGCUUCUACCUUCAUACAAACUCCUCCACUUUAAGAGAAGCGACCUAGAGUUUGCAUUCAAGACUAACAUCUUGAACUUUCCUCUUAAAAGAUUUCUAAAAUUUUUCUUUCAGAAUGAGGCACAGUAAGAGGAGGAGGAUAUAGUGGACUAAAGCUCUUAUUUAUUAUUAACGUUUAAGAGCUCAACGACACCGUUUAAUUGAAACAUGUAAAAAAAUGAGGGCGAUCCUUCAAGCGUCUCUGGACACAGAGAGAAUCAGCCCAUUCAACAGAGGUGAAGGUGCUCUACUUCUAGCCUCAUGCAAACUCCUUCACUCUAGAAGAGACGACCUUAAGUCUGCGUUCAAGGCCAACAUCUCUAACUCUCAUCUUAGAAAAUUUUUGAUAUCUUCUUUUAGAACAAGACACGGGAGGAGAAAAAGAAUAAAAUGGACUAAAGCUCGUAUUUAUUAUUAACUUUCAUUUGCCCAAUCAUACCAUUUUUAAUUAAAUCACCCAAUGAAACCAUUUAAUUGAAAUUUGUAAACAAAUUGAGGACAACUCUUCAAGCAUCAUUGGACAAAGAGAGAACCAACUCGUUAUCAGUGAAGGUGAAGGUGAUCUACUUUCAACCUCACUCACGCAAACUCCUUUGCUCUAAGAGAGGCGACCCCAAGUUUGCUUUCAAGACUGAUAUCUCUGAUUAUCCACUUAUAAAAUUUUUGGAAAUUUUCUUCCAAAACAAGAGGAGGAUAUAGUGGACUGAAGCUCGUAUUUAUUAUUAACUUUCACUUGCCCAACAAAAUCGUUUAAUGGAAAUGUGUAAAUAAAAUGAGGACGAUCCUUCAAGCGUCACUAGACACAGAGAGAACCCACUUAUUAUUAGUGGAGGUGAAGGUGCUCUGCUUCCAGCCUCACGCAAACUCCUUCGUUCUAAGAGAGGUGACCCUAAGUUCAAGACCAACAACUCCAACUCUCCUAUUAAAACAUUCCAUUAAAAACUACUGUAAGGAAAUAUAUAAAAAAAUUAUGUGCACUAUUAAUAACAAAUGUGGGAUAAGGAACCAACAUUCCCAAGGUCUUGGGUCUCUUAUGUGGAUAAUGAAAAACUUUACGUACCUUUCUAAAUUUUGCAUGUAAGUGCUGGUUUUUUACUAUGUUUUGUGACCUAGAGUAGAUUAUGGUUUUAGUAUAAUUAUAUUUUUGUUUAUGUUGAUGAGAAAAUCUGUAGAUUUAUAGUGUGCAUGAGGCUUAGAAAGGAGCCAUCUUUAAGUUCAUUAACUUGCUUUCGCAUAAUACGAUACAUAAAAAUAUACAUAGAGUGCACACACCUAACAUUAACCACAUUCAUCCCAACUUCCUUAAUACGGGCUUGUACAUGCUAGCUUUAUCUAAUAAAAUGAAGAGUUAUUUGUUUACACAAAAACCCAAUAGCUGCCAUUUUAGCAUCUUUAAUCUCUCUCCUAAUCCAUGUGGGAUAAAGCACCCAUAAACUCUUAAAAUAUCUCGUUCAUUCUUUUAACUCCAUCAUCUACAUAUUACUCCCCUGUUAACUUUCCUCCUCUUGUCAGGACAUAUUUACUUUUAUUCCAUUAAUAAGAAUUCCAUCAUCUAUAUGUAAAUUUGAUCAUUUUAUCAAUUUUGAUGGAGCCACCAUUUCUUGUCAGGGUCUUUAUCAAUAUGCUAUUCACUUUUACGAUCACUUACAAUCCAACAACCGCAAGGCAUAUUGCACAAAUAAACUUGAACAAAACAAGACAAGUUGUUGCACAGAUGAAGCUGAAGUUUCAAAGAUAAUAGAGCUACACUAUUGGCUGCAAGGAUGGUGAAAAUCACUAGAGAUUGUACUUUUCUAGUAGAAAUUUAUAUAUUCAUCAAUUGGUGUCAUGAUCAACACAUGAACGAAAAACAACUUCCAAUUUAGGACACAUGAGAAUAUAAUUUAAUUUUAAUAAAAAAUUUCUUAUAUUCACCUUGCAAGUGUCUUCCCUCUUUGCUUAGAUCUUACUUCCAUAAGUUAGGAAUAACUUUUUAAUUUUUAUUUUUCAAUUUAUAUUUAUACAAGAAUUAGAAUAUAAAUAAAAUUAUUUUUAAAAACAUCAAAGAUAAAUAUUUUUAAAUUUAAUGUCAUCUCUAUUAUUUUUAUUUAAAUUAAUUUAUAUAAUGUCAGAAAUAAAUAAAUAAAUUUUAAAAAUAAGAAUAAUUUUGUAAUUUACCAGAAAGAAAGAGCCUUACAUUUGAAGCAAAUGGGCACUGCAAAAUGAUAUGUAGGGAAAUAAAAAUAAAUUUAAAAUAAUAGCAGGAGCUUAAAAAUCAAAGUAUUAAAUUUAAAAAAAAAACACAACUAUUAAAUAUGAAAAGAAAAAUUAAAAUAUUGGGUAUUUAACUAUAUAACUUCCCUUUAUUAUUAUAAUUAUGAGCAAAUUCAUUUAGAAGAAGUUCUAAAGACAUUCCAAGAUAAGAAGUUGUAUGUAAAACAAUUCAAGUGUUGUUUCUUCUAAAUAGAGGUGGAGUAUGUUGGGCUAGUCGAAGGGUGGAAAUGGACACUUGAAAGAUCGAAGCCAUGAUCAACUGGCCAUUCCUUAGAUGAUUAAGGCCUUACAAGUUUUCUGGGCUUAAAAGGAUACUAUGACAAAUUAUUACAGACUCAUAGCCUAACAACUCACUCAUUUUUUUUAAAACAGUGCUUUUAAAUGGAAUGCAGAAGCAAAUAAGACCUUCCAGUCGUUAAAGGCAGCCAUGACUUCCAGCCUGGUCUUAUAACUGCCUAAAUUCGGGGAUCAUUUUACUACAGAGACAAAGGUGAGUAAUAAAGGUAUUGGAGCAAUCUUAAUACAAGAGAAUCAACUCAUCACCUUCAUAAGUACGACUCUCAACCCCAGGAAUUAAACUAAAUUGGUAUACGAGAAGCAACUGACAGAAGUUCUCUAUGUUGUAGAAAAAUAGGUGCACUACUUAGAAAGAACCUCCUUCAUCAUUAGAACUAAUAAGCACAACCUAAAGUACUUGUUAGAUCAAAGGGGGGUAUCCUCCAUGGUAAAACAAGAGGAGAUUUUGAAGUUGUUGGGUCUCAAUUACAUGAUCCAAUACAAGCAAGUGUCAUCCAACAAAGUAGCUUACGCUUUUUCAAGAAAAUACUCCGAUGAAUUUGAAGCAGAAGUCUUAUACACCCUCUUGAUAGGGUGUAAAAAUAACAUCCUCGUCACCUAUGUUUGUGUGUCUAAAAUGAACUAUUUGCUGCAUGAUCAAGUUAUUUUAUCCAUUUUGAUGUAGGACAGAAGUUGGAACCUAAAGUCAGGAAGAACAGUAGGAAGCAAGGGCGAGAACUAUAAAACUACCAUAUGUCAUGGUCUUAGCCUUGCGCAAGGCUAAGACCGCUCAACUACAGCAUGUAUUGGCCCCCGUACACACCCUUGUCCAAGGGAUACAUUUCAGCAAAAACAAGAAAACGCAACCAACCCUUGGGAACGGUUUGCAUCUAAGGCAGUAGGAUGGGACAUAAGUUAUGAUCUACUAAGCCUUGGCCAAGGCCAAGGUGGCACUUAAAUUUAAAAGGUUCGCACGUAAUUGAGACAAACUUUGCCCUAGGCUUGCACAUCAACCUCCAAUACACUUAAAGAAAAGGGGGGCUUUUUGAAAUAUGAGAAGAUACCCUCUCUAUCGUGAUCUAAGGGUUGAAAAUCAUGUGAAAAUCAUUAUGGAAAGAUAAAGAUGAGUUGAAAUCAAGGAAAUGGAUUGGAAAUAAAGGAAAGAAAAGUAAAAGAAACCCUAUACUCUGGUUAACUAUAAAGGAGGCAGUUGUCAAAGUAGAAUCAUAUUUCCUUGGGCUUGACACCACACAAAGAAGAUUUCCCUGUUGCUACCCUUUUUCUUCUUCAUAUUUAUUCUCUCAUUUAAUCACUAAAAACUCUUUUGUAUUGAAACCCACCAUGAGUGGCUAGUUUAUUUCUUUUCCUUUUUGAGGUUUGGUGAACUCCAGUGAUGUAUUUGCAAGAUCAAAUUGAUUUAGUUCAUGUUUUAUUUAAACCUUGGUAUUUAUUUAUUUCUUGCAUACUUGCUGUUUUGAAUUUAUUUGAACAGGGCCCGUGGAAUGCACGUAGAGGCCGCAAGUAGCUAGCUGGACCAUUAAAUCUGUAAUUGUUUGCUUAGUUUCAACACUUAAAAGCAAUCAAUGUCGCACUGAGGAGGUAAAUAACCUGGUUGACUGGUUCACACGGAUGAACCCAACAACUUGAAUAAGGUUCUUUUAGUUUUUAAGGCUGUUGGCAAGUAAAAUCUUGUGGACAUUCCAGGAUUGUUUGGCAGCAAAAAAUCAAUCAUGAACGUUUCUUAACUAGUUUAAAAAUAAGAAAUGAUUGAUUGUUGAAACAUUUCCAACAACUAUAACUUGUUCAGAAUAGUUUAAAUAAGGUUAAUCCUUAUAUCCAUUAUCAAUUACGUUACCGGAGUUGGCUAUUUCAUCAACUAAAUAUCCUCUUUAUAAUUGCUUUAGAUUUGAACUUGUAGCCUAUAUUUUGUUCAACAUCAUUCUACUUAUUAUUCAUUUUAUAUUUCGCAUAACCAGUCCUAUAAAACCCCCUCUUGUUUACUAUUUAUUUGUUAAUCAAGGAAGAAAAUUGAUUUUCGACUCCAUGUGGAUUCAACCCUUCUUACAACUACUCCAAUAUUGUUUUAUUUGUUAAUUAGAAAUUUAUUUUUGAUGGAUUCAACACCAAUCAAAUUUUGGUGCCGUUGCUAGAGAGACGGUAUUUAACUAAUUAUUUUUUCUUUUUAUGACUAGGUUUAUCGUGGGAGACCACUCUUUUACGAUCCAGAGAUUGAAAAGACCACCAAAAGUCUAAGAAAGCAGACCCAAGAGAGAAGGGAGACACAUCAAGAUAGCAUACCAUCUUCUCCACCCGAGAUAGAAAGUAUGGAACAAGAGUGCAUAUUGAAGGAGCUGGUAGCACUGUCUACCAACCAACAACCUCUCUGCAUCAGCUACCCAGAUCUGGGCGUAACUUUCGAGCUAAAAUCUAGCUUAAUUCACUUGCUGCCCAAGUUCAUAGGUUUAGAGAUGAAAACCCGCACAAGCACCUCAAAGAACUUCAUGUUGUGUGCUCAAGCAUGAAACCACAUGGAGUGUCCAAAGAACAUAUAAAAUUAAGGGCAUUCCUCUUUUCUUUGGACAAUGAGGCCAAAGAUUAGUUGUUUUACCUAUCCUUAGGAUCGAUCAUGACUUGGACAUAUAUGGUAAAAGCCUUCCUAGAUCAUUUCUUUCCAGUAUCGCGGGCAAUUAGCAUUAGAAGGGAAAUAUACAGAGUUCGUCCAAGGGAUUCCAAAAGCUUACAUGAUUACUAGGAAAGGUUCAAACGAUUGUGCGCAAACUGUCUACAUCACGAUAUUUCAAAAUAAUCCCUCAUUCACUACCUUUAUGAAGGAUUAUUACCCACAAAAAGAAGAAUGUUGGACGUAAAAAGUGGCGAAGCCAUAGCGAAUAAGACACCACAGCAGGCAAGGGAGUUGAUAUCGAUCAUGGUAGCCACCUCCUUGUAAUUCGGAUCCAACUGGAACACCCCUUGGAGAGUGAAUGAGGUAAGUAUCUCUACCCUUGAGUCUCAAAUAUCUGAGCUAACUAGUUUGGUAAAAACAUGGCCACAUAAAACAACCAAUGAGCUCAAGUGUGUGGGAUUUGUGCACAUUCGGGACACCCCAAGGAUAUGUGCCCCACGCUCUAUGAUGAUGACAGUAGCAAGUCAAUAUGGUGGGUGGUUUCCCAACUCAAACGCAAAGGAGGUAUGAUCCUUUCUCCAACAUGUAUAAUCUCGGAUGGAGAGACCACCCCAACUUUAGCUAUAGAGUGAGACAACAAAACUACCAGCAAUACCCAAAUAUACCACCUCCACCACUAUAAGCAGGGCCUCCCAAACAAGCUAUAUCCCUCGAAGAGAUUGUUAAGUCACUUGCCACUGACACCCAACAAUUUCAACAGGAGACAAGAGCUAGCAUUUUGAAUUUGGAGACACAAGUCAGCCAACUCGCGACUUCCAUGAGCUAGCUAGAAUCUUAGGGCAAAUUACCCUCCCAAAAAGAAGUGAACCUAUGGCCCAACGUUACUGCCAUCACCUUGCAAAGCGAGAAGGAAUUACUAGAAAACCUUGUCAAAAAAACCCUUGGUCGAGGGUUGCAAAAGGAAAUAGGGUCGGAAGCCUUGGGCAAGGCUAUUAGGGCAACAAUAAAUGACAGUACCUCUCCUGGUAAGACAGACUAUGAUCAACCAAUUUUGUCUCCAAUCAGACCACUCUUCUUGUAGAGAUUCACCAAAAUAAAGAAGAAAAAAGAGGAUAAGGAAAUACUAAAAACAUUCUCUAAAGUCGAAGUCAAAGUCAAUCUUCAUCUAUUUGAUGCCAUUAAACAAAUACCCAGAUCUGUCAAGUUCUUGAAAGAAUUAUGCACCCAUAAGAGGAAACUAAGUAGCAACAAAAGAAUAAGUGUGGGGGAGAAUGUCUCGGCUAUCAUACAAAGGAAGUUUCCUCCUAAAAACAAAGACCAAGAUAGGUUCGACCUUUAUGUGUUAGAUAUGGAGGAUGGCAAAUUUUCAGGUUCCUUUGAUCUCCAAUUAGGCAGACCCUUCCUCAGCACUGCUAAUACAAAAAUAGAUGUGCAAGAUGGAAUCCUCACUAUGAAAUUCGACGGCAAGGUGGGAAGUUUUAAUGUGUAUGAUGUUAUGAAAUAUCUGUUUAUUUGUUUUGUGUGUGCAGCACCGAUACCGUUGAUAUCCUAAAUCAAAAGUACUUUAACUUAAGCCAUGGAGACGAGGUAAGUAUUGUACUUUGCAAUGAUUUAGAUGCUGAUAGUCUACAGAUCCUAGAAGUAGACCACGUGGUUGACCAGUGCUUACAAGAAGUCAUGUUUGAACUGAACUCCCUUAAGCGGAUAAAAGGUAUGACUCCUUACCUUAAUCUCCCCAUAACUCACACGAAUAUGUUUUACAGACCCCAAGAUAGAAUUGAAACCACAGCUCGAACACCUCAAGUACAUUUUUUUAGGUGAAGGGGAAACCCUCUCGGUGAUAACCUCCAACAAACUCAGCCAAUCUGAAGAAGUAAAAUUAUUGAGGGUACUCCGAGAACACAAGGAAGUCAUAGGCUUGAUCAUAGCUGAUAUCAAGAAAAUUUUACCCUCCACUUGCAUGUACAGGAUCUUGUUAGAAGAGGGUAGUAAACCCAACAGACAAGUUCAAAGGCGCAUGAACCCACUGAUGAUGGAAGUGGUGAAGAAAAAAGUUUUGAAGCUGUUGGAUACUGGAAUCAUCUACUCAAUCUCAGACUGUUGGUGGGUAAGCCUAGUGCAGAUUAUGCCAAAGAAAAUAGGGGUCAUCGUGAUAGAGAACCAAGAGGGAGAAAAGAUUUCAGCAAGAGUGCAAAAUGGAUGGAGGGUCUACAUCGACUACCGUAAGUUGAAUGCCUUAACAAGAAAGGACCACUUCUCGUUGCCCUUCAUCGAUCAGAUGCUAGAAAGGCUAGCAGAAAAAACCCAUUACUACUAUUUGGAUGGCUACUCUGGGUUUUACAAAAUUUUGGUUGCCCUUAGAGGUUAAGAAAAUACCACUUUUUCAGGCCCCUUCAAGGCUUUCACCUAUUGAUGGAUGCUGUUCAACCUUUAGAAUGCACCUUUAAGAGAUGCAUGGUCAAUAUCUUUUCUGAUUUUAUGGAAAAAAAACAAAGAAUUUUUUAUGGAUGACUUCAUAGUCUAUAGAGAUUGUUUUGACGAAUGCCUUGGCAAUCUCACAAAGGUGCUUAAGCAAAGGUGGACGUUAUUAAAUCACUGCCUCACCCAAAAAUUAUAUGGGAGAUACACUCCUUCAUCGGGCAUGUCAGUUUCCAUAGAAGGUUCAUUGAGGACUUUUCAAAGAUCACACAACCUUGUGCCAUUUACUUCAGAAGGAUAUCAAGUUUAUCUUUGGGGAACCUUGCAAGGAAGUAUUCAAAACACUUAAAGAGAAGCUAGUGACAACACUCAUCAUGCAACCGCCAAAUUGGGGCUACCAUUUAAAAUAAUGUGUGAUGCAAGAAACUAAGCAAUGUGUGCAGUACUCGAGCAGAGAACAGGAAAAGACCCACAUGUAAUCUAUUAUGCUUCUCGCAUGGAGAAAGAGCUGCUCGUUGAGUUUGCCUUGGGAGAAAUUUUAGUCAUACUUGUUGGGAACAAAGGUGAUUGUCUUCUCAGAUCAUGCGGCACUGAAGUACUUGUUGAAGAAAAAAGAGGUAAAAUUGAGGCUAAUACAAUGGAUACCUCUUCUGCAAAAAUUUGACCUUGACAUAAGAGACAUAAAGGGGAUAGAGAAUUUAGUAGCAAACCACCUUAGCAGGCUGCUAAUUAGUGGAGAGGAGCCCUCUCUAUUGGGCGAUGAGUUUCUAGAUGAACACUUGUUUGCGAUUCAGCAUACAGCCCCAUGGUACACGGACAUCGUCAACUACCUUGUUACCCGUGAACUAUCAGCCGAUCUACUAAGGGCUAAGAAAGAAAAGAUAAAAAAAGAAGCAAAGCAGUACGUCUAGAUGACCCAUACCUGUCAAAACAUUAUGUGGAUUAGUUAAUCAAGAGCUAUAUUCCAAAGAUUGAAGUAGCCUCUAUCCUAAAAUUUUGUCACUUAUUUGCCUGUGGGGGGCACUUCAGACCAAAGCGAACAGCCUAGAAGGUACUAGAGUGUGGUAUGUUCUGGCCAUCAUUAUUUCAUGAUGCAUAUACCUACUACAAAACUUGUGAAAAUUGCCAAUGCACGGGAAACAUCAGCCACAAAGAUCAAAUGCCAUUCACUCCCAUUCUGGUAUCUGAAAUCUUUGAUGUAUGGGGCAUCGACUUAAUGGGGCCAUUCCCCUUUUCCUUCGACAACACCUACAUCCUACGAGCAGUGGAUUAUGUUUUCAAAUAGGUUGAAGCAAAAGCUAUCCAGACCGAUGAUGCUAAGGCAGUUGUCAACUUUUUGAAAACACGUCUUUGUGAGGUUUGGAAUCCCAAGGGCAAUAAUAAAUGAUUGGGGAACUCAUUUCUACAAUCGGGUGGUCGAAUAUCUCUUCAGAAAAUAUAAUGUCACUCACUACACAUCCACCGCCUACCACCAACAAACUAGUGGACAAACGGAAGUCUCCAACUAGGAAGUCAAGUCCAUCUUAGAAAAAAUGUUUAAACCAAACAGAAAGGACAUGAGUCUAUGACUUGAUGAUGUUUUAUGGGCUUAUCGAACAACAUUCAAGAUGCCAAUCGAAAUGUCUCCAUACUUCCUAAUCUUUGGGAAAGCUUUUCAUUUGCUUAUUAAGCUGAAGCAUAGAGCAUACUGGGCCAUCAAGAGUUAUAACAUGAAGAUGGAGGAACUUGUGGAGCAUCGGAAGCUACAACUACAAAAACUAGAAGAAAUACGAAAUACGACCUAUGAGAACUUCAGAAUUUACAAGGAAGAGACAAAAAUACUCGACAACCAAUUAUUUUCCAAUAAAUAAUUCUUAAUUGGGCAGUAAGUCAUCCUCUUUGAUGGAUAGGGCCAUUCCAGGUCAAGGUGGAUAGGGCCAUUCCAGGUCACCAACAUAUUUCCUCACGGCAUUGUCGAAAUCAAGAGCCUUAACACACAAAAAAUUUUCAAGGUGAACAGACACCAUCUUAGACCUUUUUACGAAGGCUUCUUUGCAAAUAACAUUAAAAAAACAACACACAACCCACCCGAGGCACAUACCUGACAACAAGUAGGACAGUUUGGCCUUGGACAAUAAAUAAGGUGCUUGAUGGGAGGCAACCCAUCCAUAUUUUCUUCCUUAUGUUUUCUUUCUUGCCCUUCUCAAUUUUAACUUCUUUUUGGGUAAAUUAAUGCAUUUUUUGCUGAAGAUUAAUGUAGAAAUUGAAUUUAUUUUAUUUAUUAGUUUAAAUUCAUAUAGGAUUUAUUUUUAAUUAGAUUUAGAACAUAUUUAUUUUUUAAAUAUCAUGUUAUUAGUGGAAAUUUGUCUUUUAAGAGAUUUGGUUAAUGUUUAUCUUUUAGAUUAUAAUAGAUUAUUUUUUAAAAAUUUGAAUUCGAUAUAAGUCUAUUUAAAGGCAUUUUAAGUUGUUAAUUUUGGAGGAGUGAAUUAAAUAAAAAUUUAAUUUUUCUUCACUUAAAAAAAUCCCAACAAGUGGUAUCAGACCUUCAUUAGUCAUGGGUAUGUGAGAAAAAAAAUAAAGAGAAAGUAAGAGAGUUUCAUACAUCAAAUAUGGCCUCAAACACUUUUUCUUUGACUUCACCUCCCAUUUUCACGAGAAAAAUUUCAAUUAUGGGUUGUGAAAAUGCAAACAUAUGUACAAUUUUUUUUUAUUUUGGGAUGUGGUUGAAAAUGAUGGUGAACCCCCACCAUUGCAAUCUCAUCCAACUGCAGCUUAAUUAAAGAGUCAUAUGAAGAAAAAUCCAAUUACAAAGUAAGAACUUACUUGUACUUCUCAGUUUUUGAAAUGAUUUUUACUAGGAUCAUGGCAUGCGAAACUCCAAAAGAGAUAUUGCAUUUGCUUAAAACUGAGUAUUUAGGUAAUGAUCAAACCAGGUUGAUGCAAGUUUUGAAUCUUAAGAGAGAAUUUGAUAUUCAAAGAAUGAAGGAAUCUAAAGGAAUCAAAGAGUGUGCUAUCAACUCAUGACAUUGUUAACAAAAUUGGAUUAUUUGGUGAAGAGUUUUCCGAUAGUAGAAUUGUUGAAAAAAUUUUUGUGAACUUACGAGAAAAGUUUGAACCAAAGAUUUUCCCACUUGAAGAUUCUAAGGAUCUCUCAAAAAUUACAAUUACAGAAUUAAUUAAUGCUUUACAAGCUGUGGAGCAAAGAAGAGCAAUGAGAGAUGAAAAAAAAAUUGAGGGAGUUUUCAUAGCCACAGUGUCAAACAAGUCUUCAUCAAGAUCAAAGAGAAGAAACUUUCCACUAUGGUGAGUAUGCAGAAAAAACAAUCAUGAUGAAAAAGAUUUUUGGCAUAAAGGUAAAUCACAAUAUUUUUAUUGUAAAAGAUUUGGGUAUAUACAAAAAAAUUACAGGUUGAAGAAUGAACAAGUGAUGCGGAACCCCAAAACCUUUGCUUGAACCUUAGAACUCUUCAAUCGGUUUAGAACAGAAUUUAGAUCACAAGUAAAAAAAAAAUCAAAUUUGUUCAAUCACCCAAAUGGUAGAAGUUAAAGAGAACCCAAGAAAGAUAAAUGAUAUCCCUUGAACUCAAUCCAAACAAGCACCAAUAACAAUUGAAAAGAGGAAAUCAAAAUUGAAAUACAAGUGAUAACAAUUGUAUUCCAAAUCAACACCUUGUGCAUAAAGUGAAAAGAAAGCCAAAACGCUCUCAACUCAAUUCUGAAAUGUUUGAUUACAACUCUUGAUGUCCACAAAGAAGAGUUCCUUUGGUAUUUAUAGCCAAAGAAAUCAAUGAUAAGUUACAAUACAAUAACUACAAUUGUAACUCCCACAAUAACUAGGUUAAUUAUGUGGUAAUUAUAAUUGUAACUCCAACAAUAACUAGGCUAAUUAUAGGCACGUAAUUGUUACGUAACUCCUUGUAACUCCAAUCUUCUUAACCAACACCACUAAUUGUUUGGGGCACCAUAUAGUUAUGGGCUCAUUCUUAUAAUAAUACUAAGACAAGACUUAAGCCCAAAAUAAGUUAUACUUAACUAUAUAAGCUUAAUUAACUCAAAUUAAAAUAAAACAAUCUAAAAUACUUAAAACAACUCAACUAAUCCAGCCCACACACAAGGUUUAUUCAUCCAUUAUCAAUAAGACUCAAACAAGCCCAAAUUAUCCCAAAUCACUUAAAUCCAAUUAAAGUUACGAAUUUGGGCUGUUCAAAAAGCUCAUAUUUGAACUUUCCACAAUUGGCCAACCCAUCAUCCACAUGUUUUUGAGUAAAAACUUGGAGCAACUCUUUAAUUGCCUUUAAUCUUGUUACUGGUCCGCUGAAACUUUCCAAGUUUGGAACUGUAUUUGUGUUUACAUCAUUUGAAAUUUGCUCCAAGUUACCUUCUGAUGCUCUUUGAGUAUCUUGAGUGUUUUUAGCAUUGUUUGUAUCAUUCCCCCUCCCCUCAAAAGGAUUCAUCCUCGAAUCAAUUCCUUCUUGAAAGCGCAUCAGCUACCACAUUUUCUUUUCCUUGCUUAUAUUGGAUCACAUAUGGGAAGGACUCUAUGAAUUCUACCCAUUUUGCAUGUCGUUUAUUAAGCUUGCAUUCCCCUUUCAAAUGCCUCAAAGAUUCAUGAUCGGUGUGAAUCACAAAUUCUUUUGGUAACAAAUAAUGUUGUCAUGUCUUUAAUGCUCUUACCAAAGCAUAAAACUCUUUGUCAUAGGUAGAAUAAUUCAAUUGUGCACCAUUGAGCUUCUCACUGAAGUAAGCAAUGGGUCUUUUAUCCUGCAUAAGAACAACACCUAUCCCAAACCCAGAAGCAUCACAUUCAAUUUCAAAAGUUGAAUCAAAAUUAGGCAAUCUUAAUAAAGGUGCAUUACAUAACUUUUCUUUCAAUAAGGAAAACGCAUGUUCUAGUUCUUUUCCCCAAACAAACCCCUUAUCUUUUUUCAUGAUUUCAGUUAAAGGGGCAGCAACGACACUAAAAUCUUUUACAAAUCUCCUAUAGAAACUUGUCAAACCAUUAAAACUACGCAGCUCACUUACACUUUUAGGUGUCGACCACUCUUGAAUAGCCUUUACCUUUUCACUAUCUACCUCGAUUCUUUCUGCACUCACGACAGAUCCUAAGAAAAUGAUGCGAUCAAUGCAAAAUGUACAUUUCUUCAUGUUAGUAUAUAGUUGAAAUUUGCACAAUGUGUCAAACACUUAACUCAAAUGCAUGACAUGCUCAUCAAUAGAUUUGCUAUACACAAGAAUGUCAUCGAAGUAGACAACCACAAACUUUCCAAUAAAUUCACGUAAAACAUGGUUCAUUAAACGCAUGAAAGUACUUGGCGCAUUAGUUAAGUCAAAUUGCAUAACUAACCACUCAUAUAACCCUUGUUUUGUUUUAAAAGCAGUUUUUCAUUCAUCUCGUUUCAUUCGUAUUUGAAACGAUAACUACUUAUCUUUUUUCAUGAUUUCAGUUAAAGGGGCAGCAACGACACUAAAAUUUUUUACAAAUCUCUUAUAGAAACUUGUCAAACCAUGAAAACUACGCAGCUCACUUACACUUUUAGGUGUCGACCACUCUUGAAUAGCCUUUACCUUUUUACUAUCUACUUCGAUUCCUUCUGCACUCACGACAUAUCCUAAGAAAAUGAUGCGAUCAAUGCAAAAUGUACAUUUCUUCAUGUUAGUAUAUAGUUGAAAUUUGCACAAUGUGUCAAACACUUACCUCAAAUGCAUGACAUGCUCAUCAAUAGAUUUGCUAUACACAAGAAUGUCAUCGAAGUAGACAACCACAAACUUUCAAAUAAAUUCACGUAAAACAUGGUUCAUUAAACGCAUGAAAGUACUUGGCGCAUUAGUUAAGUCAAAUUGCAUAACUAACCACUCAUAUAACCCUUGUUUUGUUUUAAAAGCAGUUUUUCAUUCAUCUCGUUUCAUUCGUAUUUGGUGAUAACUACUUUUAAGAUCAAUUUUAGAAAAUACACAAGCACCAUGCAACUCAUCUAACAUAUCAUCAAGUCGAGGUAUUGGGUGUCGAUAUUUUACCGUUAUUUUGUGUCAAGCUUUACAAUCAACACAUAUGCCAACUACCAUCUUUUUUGGGUACUAAUAAAAGGGGCACUACACAUGGACUUAAACUUUCUCGAAUGUGCCCCAUUUGUAAAAGCUCCUCCACUUACCUUUGAAGCUCUUUGGUCUCCUCGGGAUUGUUCCUAUAGGCUGGUCUAUUUGGUAUGGCAGCCCCGGGAAUAAAGUCAAUUUGAUGCUCAAUCCCUCUCAAAGGUGGUAAACCUGAGGUAGAUCAUCGGAAAAAACAUUGCUAAAUUCCUGCAAAACUU
RNAcentral lists this long non-coding RNA (22287 nucleotides) under Carica papaya (papaya). RNAcentral describes it as "long non-coding RNA (CPAP_LNC004428)". The record is from RNAcentral. Lineage: Eukaryota; Viridiplantae; Streptophyta; Magnoliopsida; Brassicales; Caricaceae.